GACGAUCGCUGGCGGCGUGCUUAACACAUGCAAGUCGAACGGUGAAGCUCCAGCUUGCUGGAGUGGAUCAGUGGCGAACGGGUGAGUAACACGUGAGCAACCUGCCCCUGACUCUGGAAUAAGCGCUGGAAACGGCGUCUAAUACUGGAUACGAGAAGGGUCCGCAUGGGCACUUUCUGGAAAGUUUUUCGGUUGGGGAUGGGCUCGCGGCCUAUCAGCUUGUUGGUGAGGUAAUGGCUCACCAAGGCGACGACGGGUAGCCGGCCUGAGAGGGCGACCGGCCACACUGGGACUGAGACACGGCCCAGACUCCUACGGGAGGCAGCAGUGGGGAAUAUUGCACAAUGGGCGAAAGCCUGAUGCAGCGACGCCGCGUGAGGGAUGACGGCCUUCGGGUUGUAAACCUCUUUCAGCAGGGAAGAAGCGAAAGUGACGGUACCUGCAGAAGAAGCACCGGCUAACUACGUG
This 468-nucleotide ribosomal RNA is filed under the name uncultured bacterium. RNAcentral's name for it is "partial 16S ribosomal RNA". It matches the Rfam family "Bacterial small subunit ribosomal RNA", at positions 28 to 507 of the family's 1533-position model. The record is from RNAcentral.